Molecule: ribosomal RNA, 206 nt
Filed under: uncultured bacterium
Lineage: Bacteria
Description: partial 16S ribosomal RNA
Rfam family: Bacterial small subunit ribosomal RNA
Source: RNAcentral
CACGUAGGCGGAUAUUUAAGUUAGAGGUGAAAUCCCAGGGCUCAACCCUGGAACUGCCUUUAAUACUGGGUAUCUCGAGUCCGAGAGAGGUGAGUGGAAUUCCGAGUGUAGAGGUGAAAUUCGUAGAUAUUCGGAGGAACACCAGUGGCGAAGGCGGCUCACUGGCUCGGUACUGACGCUGAGGUGCGAAAGCGUGGGAGCAAACA